UACAGAGGGGGCAAGCGUUGUUCGGAAUUACUGGGCGUAAAGGGCGCGUAGGCGGCCGCCUAAGUCAGACGUGAAAUACCUCGGCUCAACCGGGGAACUGCGUCUGAUACUGGGUGGCUUGAAUCCGGGAGAGGGAUGCGGAAUUCCAGGUGUAGCGGUGAAAUGCGUAGAUAUCUGGAGGAACACCGGUGGCGAAGGCGGCAUCCUGGACCGGCAUUGACGCUGAGGCGCGAAAGCCAGGGGAGCAAACAGG
RNAcentral lists this ribosomal RNA (253 nucleotides) under uncultured bacterium. RNAcentral describes it as "partial 16S ribosomal RNA". It matches the Rfam family "Bacterial small subunit ribosomal RNA", at positions 524 to 776 of the family's 1533-position model. The record is from RNAcentral.